This 178-nucleotide non-coding RNA is filed under the name Vibrio coralliilyticus. RNAcentral describes it as "Lysine sequence". It matches the Rfam family "Lysine riboswitch aptamer". Rfam says of the family: Riboswitches are metabolite binding domains within certain messenger RNAs that serve as precision sensors for their corresponding targets. Allosteric rearrangement of mRNA structure is mediated by ligand binding, and this results in modulation of gene expression. This family includes riboswitches that sense lysine in a number of genes involved in lysine metabolism, including lysC. The record is from RNAcentral. Lineage: Bacteria; Pseudomonadati; Pseudomonadota; Gammaproteobacteria; Vibrionales; Vibrionaceae.
UUUUGCAGAAGAGGAGCACUACCCAGGUAGGUGUUUUGUGGAGCCACAACUCCGAUACAAAUCACUGAGGGGGAGUAGUGCCGAGGUAGAUCAACGUUGUGGUUUUGAUCUGUCGGUUGACUUGGGUUGACUCCCAUCAACUGUCAUCAGCUCAGUCUGGUGAAGAGCUUCUGAGGUA